This 939-nucleotide ribosomal RNA is filed under the name Shigella flexneri. Its description in RNAcentral is "partial 23S ribosomal RNA". It matches the Rfam family "Bacterial large subunit ribosomal RNA", at positions 421 to 1359 of the family's 2925-position model. Lineage: Bacteria; Pseudomonadati; Pseudomonadota; Gammaproteobacteria; Enterobacterales; Enterobacteriaceae. The record is from RNAcentral.
GACACGUGGUAUCCUGUCUGAAUAUGGGGGGACCAUCCUCCAAGGCUAAAUACUCCUGACUGACCGAUAGUGAACCAGUACCGUGAGGGAAAGGCGAAAAGAACCCCGGCGAGGGGAGUGAAAAAGAACCUGAAACCGUGUACGUACAAGCAGUGGGAGCACGCUUAGGCGUGUGACUGCGUACCUUUUGUAUAAUGGGUCAGCGACUUAUAUUCUGUAGCAAGGUUAACCGAAUAGGGGAGCCGAAGGGAAACCGAGUCUUAACUGGGCGUUAAGUUGCAGGGUAUAGACCCGAAACCCGGUGAUCUAGCCAUGGGCAGGUUGAAGGUUGGGUAACACUAACUGGAGGACCGAACCGACUAAUGUUGAAAAAUUAGCGGAUGACUUGUGGCUGGGGGUGAAAGGCCAAUCAAACCGGGAGAUAGCUGGUUCUCCCCGAAAGCUAUUUAGGUAGCGCCUCGUGAAUUCAUCUCCGGGGGUAGAGCACUGUUUCGGCAAGGGGGUCAUCCCGACUUACCAACCCGAUGCAAACUGCGAAUACCGGAGAAUGUUAUCACGGGAGACACACGGCGGGUGCUAACGUCCGUCGUGAAGAGGGAAACAACCCAGACCGCCAGCUAAGGUCCCAAAGUCAUGGUUAAGUGGGAAACGAUGUGGGAAGGCCCAGACAGCCAGGAUGUUGGCUUAGAAGCAGCCAUCAUUUAAAGAAAGCGUAAUAGCUCACUGGUCGAGUCGGCCUGCGCGGAAGAUGUAACGGGGCUAAACCAUGCACCGAAGCUGCGGCAGCGACGCUUAUGCGUUGUUGGGUAGGGGAGCGUUCUGUAAGCCUGUGAAGGUGUGCUGUGAGGUAUGCUGGAGGUAUCAGAAGUGCGAAUGCUGACAUAAGUAACGAUAAAGCGGGUGAAAAGCCCGCUCGCCGGAAGACCAAGGGUUCCUGUC